This 1471-nucleotide long non-coding RNA is filed under the name Anas platyrhynchos platyrhynchos (common mallard). RNAcentral's name for it is "lncRNA (ENSAPLG00000023929.1)". The record is from RNAcentral. Lineage: Eukaryota; Metazoa; Chordata; Aves; Anseriformes; Anatidae.
UAGUAAAAAACAAAGGAAAAGCAUUGAAAUUACAUCACAAAUUUGGAAAAAAAGAAAUAAAAGGCGUUGCAAUCGCAUCUCCAAUUUGCAAAAACGAAGAAAAGGGCAUAGAAAUUGUACCAAAAAUUUAGAAAAACGAGGAAAAGGCUUUGCGAUCCCACCUCAGAUUGGGAAAAAUAAGUAAAAAAUGGAAUAAAAAGCGCUUUGACCUCAACCUACUGCCCUCUCCCUUGCAGAGCGCGACGCCAAGCCCCCCGCCCUCUACGUCUUCCCCCCUCCUCCGGAGCAGCUCAACGCCCACGAGACCGCCACCGUCACCUGCUUGGCCAAGGGUUUCAACCCCCCGGACCUCUUCAUCCGUUGGCUCCGCAACGGCGAGCCCUUGCCGGCCUCCAGCUACGUCACCAUGCCCCCCGUGGCCGAAUCGCAACUGGCGCGCUCUUACUUCACCUACAGCGCCUUGAGCGUGGCCACCGAGGACUGGGGGGCCGGCAACGUCUUCACCUGCUUGGUGGGCCACGAGAGGUUGCCCUUGCAAGUGGCCCAAAAAUCGGUGGACAAGUCCUCGGGUAAACCCACCUCGGUCAACGUCUCCCUGGUGCUCUCCGACACCGCCAGCUCCUGCUAUUAAAAAAAAAAAAAUCAUUUUUCCCCCCCACCAUCCUCCUCCUCCUUCCGUCGGUUUUAUCUCAACGUGUUCAAAAACCCCCCCAAAAAAAAAAAAAAAAAAUAUGCAAUGUCAAAAAAAACCUGUUUCUGCAAUGCAAAAAAAAAAUAUAUGAAUUGUUUCUUCGAUGCAAAAUGUACCCCAAAUCCCCCCCAAAAAACUCUGUUUCUGCAUCCCAAAACUUGUCAACCUCCCCCCUUCGGGAUUUGUAUCCGCGGUGCAAAACCUGUGACCCCCCCUCCCCUCUCCCCGAGGGAGAACCGACGGAAAUAAAGCAAAACGAUGGAUUUUUGUUGGAAAACUGACCAAAAGCUCAUUUUUUGUCCGGGCUGGGCGGGGUGGGGGGCGCGCGGCGGUGCAGGCGGCGGCUGCGUGCAUCUUGGUCUUUGUAAAUCCUUCGUUUCGUCCUUUUUGGAUCAUGUUUUUUUGGAAAUCUUUGCAUUUUGGUCAUUUCAAAUCCUUGACUCUUGGUCUUUGCAUCUUGGUCUUUGUAAAUCCUUCGUUUCGUCCUCUUUGGAUCAUGUUUUUUGGAAAUCUUUGUGUCGUGGUUUUUGCAUCUUGGUCUUUGCAAAUUUUUCCUUCGUCCUCUUUGUAUCUUGGUCUUUGCAUCUUGGUCUUGGCAUUGUGCUCGUUCCAAAUUCUUCGCAUUUCUUGCACAUUUCUUUGCAAACCCUUUGCUUUUUGCUUUUUGCAAAUCCCUUUUUUUUUUUAUUUUUCAUGCUCUUUUUGCAUCGUGCUCUUUGCAGACCCUUUGCUUCUCUUGCCUCGUGCUCCUCAUCCCUUUGUGUCCUCCUCAUCCUCGUG